GAUCCUGGCUCAGGAUGAACGCUGGCGGCGUGCCUAAUACAUGCAAGUCGAGCGAACAGAUAAGGAGCUUGCUCCUUUGACGUUAGCGGCGGACGGGUGAGUAACACGUGGGUAACCUACCUAUAAGACUGGGACAACUUCGGGAAACCGGAGCUAAUACCGGAUAAUAUGUUGAACCGCAUGGUUCAAUAGUGAAAGAUGGUUUUGCUAUCACUUAUAGAUGGACCCGCGCCGUAUUAGCUAGUUGG
Molecule: ribosomal RNA, 248 nt
Filed under: uncultured bacterium
Lineage: Bacteria
Description: partial 16S ribosomal RNA
Rfam family: Bacterial small subunit ribosomal RNA
Source: RNAcentral